RNAcentral lists this ribosomal RNA (499 nucleotides) under uncultured bacterium. RNAcentral's name for it is "partial 16S ribosomal RNA". It matches the Rfam family "Bacterial small subunit ribosomal RNA", at positions 28 to 507 of the family's 1533-position model. The record is from RNAcentral.
GACGAACGCUGGCGGCGUGCCUAAUACAUGCCAGUCGAGCGAAGUUUUUCUGGUGCUUGCCCUCGAAAAAUUUCGCGGCGAACGGGUGUGUAACACGUAUAGAACCUGCCUCAUAGACUGGGACAUCUAUUGGAAACGAUAGCUAAUACCGGAUAACAGUAUUUCUCGCAUUUGAGUUAUUUAAAAGUUGGUUAUUCUAACACUUUGAUAUGGCCUUGCGGUGCAUUAGCUAGUUGGUGGGGUAAAGGCCCACCAAGGCAACGAUGCAUAGCCGACCUGAGAGGGUGAUCGGCCACACUGGAACUGAGACACGGCCCAGACUCCUACGGGAGGCAGCAGUAGGGAAUCUUCCGCAAUGGGCGAAAGCCUGACGGAGCAACGCCGCGUGAGUGAUGAAGGAUUUCGGUUCGUAAAGCUCUGUUGUUAGGGAAGAAUGAAUAUGUAGUAACUAAACAUGUAAGAGACGGUACCUAACCAGAAAGCCACGGCUAACUACGUG